AGCUUGCUUUCUCGAGCGAGUGGCGAACGGGUGAGUAACGCGUGAGGAACCUGCCUCAAAGAGGGGGACAACAGUUGGAAACGACUGCUAAUACCGCAUAAGCCCACAGCUCGGCAUCGAGCAGAGGGAAAAGGAGCAAUCCGCUUUGAGAUGGCCUCGCGUCCGAUUAGCUAGUUGGUGAGGUAAUGGCCCACCAAGGCGACGAUCGGUAGCCGACCUGAGAGGGUGAUCGGCCACAUUGGGACUGAGACACGGCCCAAACUCC
RNAcentral lists this ribosomal RNA (265 nucleotides) under uncultured Faecalibacterium sp. Its description in RNAcentral is "partial 16S ribosomal RNA". It matches the Rfam family "Bacterial small subunit ribosomal RNA", at positions 77 to 339 of the family's 1533-position model. The record is from RNAcentral. Lineage: Bacteria; Bacillati; Bacillota; Clostridia; Eubacteriales; Oscillospiraceae.